UACAGAGGUGGCAAGCGUUGUUCGGAAUUACUGGGCGUAAAGGGCGCGUAGGCGGCCGCCUAAGUCAGACGUGAAAUCCCCAAGCUUAACUUGGGAACUGCGUCUGAUACUGGGUGGCUGGAGUUCGGGAGAGGAAUGUGGAAUUCCAGGUGUAGCGGUGAAAUGCGUAGAUAUCUGGAGGAACACCGGUGGCGAAGGCGGCAUUCUGGACCGAAACUGACGCUGAUGCGCGAAAGCCAGGGGAGCAAACGGG
RNAcentral lists this ribosomal RNA (253 nucleotides) under uncultured bacterium. RNAcentral's name for it is "partial 16S ribosomal RNA". It matches the Rfam family "Bacterial small subunit ribosomal RNA", at positions 524 to 776 of the family's 1533-position model. The record is from RNAcentral.